AAGAAAGGAAGAAAAUGAGAAAGAGGAGAGGAAGUUUAGAUGAGUAGAGAGAAGAAACAAAAAGGAGGAGACAAAAAAGGAUGGAUGAGGAGGUGAAAUAGGAGGAUUUCAUUACCUCCUUACUCAUCCCUCUUUCCUUAUCUCUUGCUCCCUCUUCUCCUAUUUCC
This is a non-coding RNA of Xyrichtys novacula (pearly razorfish), 167 nucleotides long. The record is from the annotation of a GenBank genome assembly. Lineage: Eukaryota; Metazoa; Chordata; Actinopteri; Labriformes; Labridae.